This 373-nucleotide ribosomal RNA is filed under the name uncultured Glomeromycotina. RNAcentral's name for it is "LSU rRNA". Lineage: Eukaryota; Fungi; Glomeromycota. The record is from RNAcentral.
UUGAAAGGGAAACGAUUGAAGUCAGUCGUACCAGCGGGAAUCAACCUUUCGAGUGGGGNUUUGGAGUUUUGAAGAGUGUCAAAACCUUUGAGAUUUCAAAAUUUUCGCUCCUUUGGUGUACUUUCUCGUGGGUAGGUUAACAUCGAUUUCGAUCAUCAUAAAAGGAUUGGAGGAAUGUAGCUUCGAUCUUGUAUUGAAGUGUUAUAGCCUUUGGUAAAUGUGAUGAUUGGGAUCGAGGAUUGCAACGAAUACCCUUUUGGGCUAUCCGCCUGAUCUCUGAUACGUGGCCUUGGUAUCGAAAGCUUGCUUAUGGUAUUAAGGUAUUACGGUCAAAAGGUUAGAACGGAUUACAUUCGUUAAGGAUGUUGACGUA